UGACACGAUUAAUCCUCAGUUUCCUUAUUUGCUGCACCUUCAAAUUCAGCUAUUGGAUUGAAGGUCCUUGAGAAUGGAUACAAGAUGAAGGUGAUAAAAGUGGACCAUGAGACCCACAGUGUUGACACCCCGGAAGAUGUAGACAAGAUAGAGUAGUUCAGGCGGGAAGAAACUUGUCUUGGAGUGAAUGAUGUGUUUAGCAUUUAGUUUCAAAAAUUUAAUUGUAUGAUGGAUCGGAUCAUAAUGAUUAGAGUGAAUGAUGUGUUUAGCUAUUGAUCGGAGUAGCAAGGAUAACUUUAGUCUACUCAUGGUGGAGUUAUAUUUGUACGACAUGAUUAAGCUUUCACAACCAAAUGAUAUGCAAACAGAGUUUAUGUUAACAA
This is a non-coding RNA of Solanum lycopersicum (tomato), 383 nucleotides long. Lineage: Eukaryota; Viridiplantae; Streptophyta; Magnoliopsida; Solanales; Solanaceae. The record is from RefSeq and is a predicted model, not a curated record.